Molecule: long non-coding RNA, 1516 nt
Organism: Octopus sinensis (East Asian common octopus)
Lineage: Eukaryota; Metazoa; Mollusca; Cephalopoda; Octopoda; Octopodidae
Exons: 6
Source: RefSeq, a predicted model, not a curated record
UAUAGAUAUAUCUAUAUUUAUAUUUUCUAUGUACAAAAAUAAUACAAAAAAAGACAAAAAGUGCUAAAUCCUACUAGAAUGCAUGUUUUUUAGUGAUUGAAGGAUAACACAUUAGUUCCAAGUUGGCAGGAGGAAACACACACACACAACUGAAAAUGAAUGAGGCAGCAUGACUUGGGGUAAGAUUUCAUUCCACUUUGAUGAUACAAAGACUUCACCACAACUUAGAAGAAGCUUUAUCAUUGGUUGAGGUCUAAGACCAGCUGCAUGAAAUUCUCAUUUUCUCUGGUUACCAUGGAAAUAUUUCUUCAGUACUGACUAGUUACUAAAUGCAGAUCCCCACAGCAGGGCUGUAAAGGAGAAACUAUACCCAUCAUCUAAGUAUCCAGUCUGCCAACCAUCCAAAGGGACCACAUCAGCAGCACAGUAGCAGCAGAGAGCUUUUACACAAGAACUACAUUUCACAGAGAUAAUACAGCAAGAACUCGGUUGUAAUAAUAAAAGACACUUUUCAGGAAAUUUUCAGUAAGUAGCUGAUGAGAAUCAGAAAUCCCCCAUAAGUUAACAGAUAUCACUUGGAUGUUUCUCGAUUGCUCAUAUGCAAUUGCAUAUAAUCUAUGCCAUAAGAAGGUCAUAUGUCAACAUACGAAAACAGGUUGCUAUUACCUCAUACAUCAACAAAAAGCAGAAUUUACAGUGCCACCGGUUAUCAAUGUACAGAAAUUCCUGCAAGACCAAAAUCUUAUGUAAUGAAGAGCUGAGAUCUGAUAAGGAAACAUAUGAGGGAGGAUAAGAUGAAACCCACAAUGGAGUGUGGCAGCUACACACACAGACAUCCUUGACUGCAUCCAAAGAAAAACUACACCUGGCUGAUUGACAUGAAGCCACUUACCAACAGUCAACUUCUGGAUCACAGACACUUUCUUCUCUUUCUGUCUUUUCUGACUACUACAAUGGCCACUGCUUCUCAGGAAUAACUGGUUACAGGCUAUCUGCAUCAAGCAUUCCCAACAUACUCAUCUUUCUCUACUCUUUACCGAUAUUGUGUCCACAUUCCCCACUACCACCAGGAUUCACACUAACAACAGUACCCAUACCUUUAUUCCCAGAACAUUGGCUCUCUGAAAUUUCAUCAGUACAGCCAUUGACUUACAACUUUUCAAGAGGAGCAUUAACCACAUAAAUUUCACUAGUCUGAGAAAACUAUCAGCAUUUCCUACAUAAAAUCAAUAAAAGAAUUCAAUUUUUAUUGCAUUGAUCCUAAUACAUAGACAUAUGAUAAAGGAAUUCUAACCAUUAUCAACUGGCUUUUUUUAUUCACACAUUAUUUAAAGAAAAUCUGGGACAUUGAGAAGAGCACACCUGUACAUUGGAUUAAAGAUUCAUUACAAGCUGUCGUAGUACGCUGCCUCAAAAGUGUUUGACUCUGCAAAGUAGUGGAGGAGAUUUACAGAAUGUCAUAUUCCAUGAGUCAUUUAAUUUUCAAGAGCCAAAAUAAAUAUUCCUAAAGAGAAAA